Molecule: long non-coding RNA, 2186 nt
Organism: Bufo gargarizans (Asiatic toad)
Lineage: Eukaryota; Metazoa; Chordata; Amphibia; Anura; Bufonidae
Exons: 3
Source: RefSeq, a predicted model, not a curated record
AGGUAAAAAUGCAUCGGAUCAGAAAUGAAGAUCCUGUGUCUGCAGUGCUGCGUAGAAAACUACAGCUGUCAAUGCCCUUCUCCACGCCUCCUCUGCGCAUCACCCAAAAACAAUUCAGGCAAUACCCACAGGGCAAUUUCUACGAACACGCAGGAUCUGUUCCAGCGAUGAGCACUUUGAACAGCAGGCAUCCAUGUUGUCACGGCGACUCCUCGAUAGAGGGUAUCCCGCGAAUAUGAUCCAGCAAGGCUAUGAAAGAGCCAGAAAGACAACAAGGGAUUCCCUGCUGAUUGUCUCUUUUGGUGUGCCCGGGAUACGUCGGUGGAUCUAACCAUCUAUUUGAUUUCGGGAUGAAGGGCAGACCAUAGAUGGACAAUUUAUGACAUGCCUUUUGGAAAUUGCAUUUUAUGCCAUAUUCCCUGUGCACGCAUCCUGUAUAUGUACAUUUUUCACAUAUAAUUGAUGUGAUAUUUGAUAUAUUUUUUAGGUGGAUAUUGUGUGUACUGGUUGGUUGGGAGUGUCCCGGUCGUCCCCAUUGGCGACCAUUGCCGUCGGUGGGGAUGCCCCGGACACUCUCUGCCUAUCCAUACUUGGAUAGGGUUUUCCCUAUUCUCUUCUUCUCCCUCUUCCUUUUGAGGCUUGUUUAUGCUGACUCUCGCUCUUGUAGAGAACACCAUGAUCAUGUUGGUGUCUCGCUAUAAUAUGUGACGGGCCAGUAAUGCUAUUAUAGUAAUCGUGGUCGGUAUUUUUCUUUCUAUAUUACAUCAUAUUUUACUUGCAUUGCCGGUCUUUGCCACCUAUGACUGCCUGAGAUUGUUCUUGUGCUUGAUGGGUUGGGGAUGCCUUGGCUGACCCCGCGGGCGGCUGUUGCUGCCUGCGGGGUCACGCUCGGCAUCCCCCCCUUAUAUAUGUCGGCGUUAUACACAUGUCACGGUUCUAUAUGCAUGUCGACACCCUUGUAGGGUGUAGAUAACAGUAUCACUUGAGAUGCAUUUUCUGUCAUCAGGAUGCACCUUUUUAAUCAAUUUUUCUUGUUUUAUUUAUAUUUCACCAUUCACUUUUUACUGUUAUAUUAUUAUCAUACAUGCAACACAUAUGGUUAUCACUUGGUGUUGUAACUAUUAGUUACUCAUGCACUGUAUAUGAUGCGUAUGUUGUUGUAACAUUGACGCAUCUCUAUAUAGCACUGUUUCCAGUACCUUUUAUUAGUAUAUCUGUGAUUGAUGUAAUUAUCUAAUGUCACUGGGUCAUGUCAUUAUCUUUGUAAUAUUAUAGUGUCAUGUUUUUCUGGGCACUAGUUUCUAGUAUUCUAUUGUUAUGUCGUGGUGGUCUGUGGACCUAAUGUGGAUGUCUAUGCAGUCAUACAAUUCAUUCUCUUCAAGGUUUGCGAGGCCGCAUACAUAUUAUAUUGUCUAUAAUCUUUCUGUCAAACACCAUUUGCCUCCCGCGAUUUGCGGUUCACCUGCGUUCCAUUGGGUCGCAGACCACGCAUGCGCUGCGCGGCGUCAUCUCAAUGUGCUCUGUGACGUCCACAUGCGCUGCGCAUGCGCGGUGUGUGGACGGUGACGCGCUGAGAGAUGGCACCGCUCAUCAUGAUGUUUCCGCGCCCGCCAUAUUGGACCACAGGUGCCCGCUAUCCAGGUAUUUUAAUUAGACUCUCAGUUAGACUAUAUAUACCCUGCUAGUCUGUCACUUGAUACCUCCUGACGAAGCCGCUGAGGUGAAACGUGCGUCGAGGUAUGCGCUCUCGGGCUUAUACUUGCGGUCAUCAUGUCCUUAGGUACGUUCCUUGUAUAGUACUAGUACCAUGGUGUAUCUAUACUCGGUAUUUCACAUCCACAUUAGGCCCAUGUUACCACCUGUGGGAUAUUAUUAGUGUUUGACAUCAAGUAACGGUAUUUCUGUAACACAUAUACUGGUGUCUUGGAAGUCUAUAUAUGUAUACAUAACUUCCGGUGAUGUGAGGUUCAUGAACAAUUAGGUUUUUAUUUAUCCUGUUGUAUAGAAUAUAUCCCCCUGGUGGGCUUUAUCAUUAUAUUUUCUCUUUAUAUCCUCUAUACAGGACCGAUUAUUCAUGCACCAUAAUAAUUUUUACCUUGAGGCUGUCCAUGCUUAAUUGUGUGGACACACAUGAUCCCGCAUUGUGUAUAUUGCUCUACGGCUCUCAGUAUAGUUUUCCAUCCUGU